ACCUGAUUGAAUACAAAAAAGGGGCCAAGCAUUGAAGAAACUUAAGAUCAAUAUAAAGAGAAACCCUCAAGAGGUUGGAGGGCAUUUGCUUGCUAGAAACAACCGGACCUCUCUGCUUUGGCCUCAGGCGUCACUGGAAUGUUUCAUCUGGGCCACAGUUCUGCCUGUCUCCACUGAAGCAGCACAGCACCAAGAAGAGGUGCCCAGUUCUACU
This 214-nucleotide long non-coding RNA is filed under the name Felis catus (domestic cat). RNAcentral describes it as "lncRNA (ENSFCAG00000049909.1)". The record is from RNAcentral. Lineage: Eukaryota; Metazoa; Chordata; Mammalia; Carnivora; Felidae.